RNAcentral lists this unclassified non-coding RNA (283 nucleotides) under Hevea brasiliensis (rubber tree). The record is from RNAcentral. Lineage: Eukaryota; Viridiplantae; Streptophyta; Magnoliopsida; Malpighiales; Euphorbiaceae.
UCGUCCUUUUUAAGCUGAGGUUAAAAAAACAAGGAAAGCUAAACAGCGGAAAGAAGGAAAGAAAGAUGGUGAUGGAGAAGUACCAGCAGAUCUGGUUAGUGUUAGGUACACUGACCUUUUUCGCCUUAUCAGCCUUAGCAGACGACGUCGUUGUGCUAACAGAAGAUAACUUCGAGAAGGAGGUCGGUCAAGACAGAGGCGCUCUCGUUGAAUUCUACGCUCCUUGGUGUGGACAUUGUAAAAAGCUUGCUCCCGAGUAUGAGAAACUUGGAACAAGCUUUAA